RNAcentral lists this ribosomal RNA (127 nucleotides) under uncultured bacterium. Its description in RNAcentral is "partial 16S ribosomal RNA". It matches the Rfam family "Bacterial small subunit ribosomal RNA", at positions 382 to 526 of the family's 1533-position model. The record is from RNAcentral.
CCNGACCAGCACGCCGCGUGAGGGAAGAAGGUUUUCGGAUCGUAAACCUCUGUCCUUGGUGAAGAGAAAGAGACGGUGGCCAAGGAGGAAGCCCCGGCUAACUACGUGCCAUCANCCGCGGUAAUAC